GCCGGGCGCUGUGGCAUGUGCCUGUAGUCCCAGCUACUCUGGAGGCUGAGGUGGGAGGAUCGCUUGAGCCCAGGAGUUCUGGGCUAUAGUACGCUAUGUCCAUAGGGUGUCCGCACUAAGUUCAGCAUCAAUAUGGUGACCUCCCGGGAGCGGGGGACCACCAGGUUGCCUAAGGAGGGGUGAACUGGCCCAGGUCAGAAAUGGAGCAGGUCAAAACUCCCGUGCUGCCGGGCAUGGUGGCUCACGCCUGUAAUCCCAACACUUUGGGAGGCUGAGGUGGGCGGAUCACCUAAGGUCAGGAGUUCGAGACCAGCCUGGUAAGCAUGGUGAAACCAUGCUUUU
Molecule: signal recognition particle RNA, 342 nt
Filed under: Aotus nancymaae (Ma's night monkey)
Lineage: Eukaryota; Metazoa; Chordata; Mammalia; Primates; Aotidae
Description: Metazoan signal recognition particle RNA (ENSANAG00000008308.1)
Rfam family: Metazoan signal recognition particle RNA
About the family: The signal recognition particle (SRP) is a universally conserved ribonucleoprotein. It is involved in the co-translational targeting of proteins to membranes.
Source: RNAcentral